RNAcentral lists this long non-coding RNA (13729 nucleotides) under Citrus x clementina. Its description in RNAcentral is "Citrus clementina (C. clementina) long non-coding RNA (CCLE_LNC002247)". Lineage: Eukaryota; Viridiplantae; Streptophyta; Magnoliopsida; Sapindales; Rutaceae. The record is from RNAcentral.
AAAAAAAGGAACUCUAAGAUUGAAACAAUUUUUCAGUAUGAAAAUCACCUAACCUUGUAAAUGCAAAAAAAAAAAAAAAUCUCUUUCAUUAUGAUUAUAAACUGUAUUAUCAUAAAAUCAGUGCAUAAAAAUGGUAAUUAAAAUGCUUUUGCUAAGAUCAAUUUUGAUUCUCGUGGAGGUCAUUAAGGCCCAAAGAAUGAACUAGAUUACAUAAAUCAGCUUCUAUGUAAUUAACUAAUAUGCUUACUUAUGUUAUUUGAAGAAUCAUUUAAUAAUAAAUAGGUAAAAACCAACAACAUGGAAAGCUGAUGAAACGAAAACGUAAACGAAACACAAGUUUAUGAAUAACAAACUUUUAUUGAAUAAAUCUCAAUUGAAAAAUUUAGGGUUUUGGACAUGUUAUAUAAUAACCCUAAAUAUUAAGAAUUUACCAAAAUACGUAAAUCGAAAAUAUUAUUUUAUAAUAAAAUUCUCCUAAUCUAAAUAAGAAAAGGAAAAUAAACGGUGUUCAAAUUUGAAUUCUAGAAAAAAAAAUUCCUAAGAGAAUAAAAAAAAUAGAAAAAAAUCUUAAAACUGAGAACGACUAAGAAAGAAGCGGAAUUUCUAGCUCGACCAUGCGGUAAAAUGGCACAAGCAUUAUGGGUUUGGUUUGUUUGACCGCAAACUUCAAAAUGGUAUAUAAUACGCAGAAAACGAACACUUAUAACUUAAGUUAUGCCCUCAAAAAGAUAUCUUGCUCAUACUACACAACCAUCCUAUAUCAAACAGUAGGGAUAUAUACAAGAAAAAGAGAAAACAUAAUACUUCAAGGGUCUAAAUGUAAAAAUUCUUAGUACUUGUUUUCCUGAUAUAAAUAAAGAGCAUUAAAGAGUCAUCGUGUUGAAAGUAAAGCGCCCAGCGUGGAAUCAUUGUGGUAAUUUAGCUAGGCAAAUACUGGAUAGGAGGAAAAUGAGGACGGCCAUUCCAGAAGAACCCUUGGGCUCAACAGGGAAAUCGAUUCCUCUUGUAGGCUUUGGAACCGUUGAAUAUCCAUUGAAUGAAGCCUUUAAAGAACGCGUUCUGCAUGCAAUUAAGCUGGGGUAUAGACACUUUGAUACUGCUGCAGCUUACCCAUCCGAGCAACCUCUUGGCGAAGCAUUGGCCGAAGCUUUACGUCUUGCCUCGUUCAAUCCCGCGACGAGCUUUUCAUCACCUCAAAACUCUGGCUCACCGACUCCUAUCGCGGCCGUGUCAUCCCGGGCCUACAAAAAACUCUCAAGUAAUUGUAGGAUAACUAUAACUUAAAAAUUAUAAUAUUAGGUUCGAUAAGCGCUAGCUAUUAUGGUUUUAAAACUAAAUUAUGUAAUCCACUACUUCCAUGAUGAAAAAAUUAUAAUAUCAUUACUAUUUUUGUUAAAAUUAUUAUUUAAAAAUCAUAUUUACUACAUAUUAUGAAAAAAUUCAUAAUGAAAUCAUAUUUACUGCAAAAAUUCAUCCUGCUGUCAAUCAGGUGAGUUAAUGAAAUUAAAAUAUUGGGACGAAAUAUUGUUUUAUGCCUCUAUAUAUAAAAUCCAUUUUGUUUGGUAAGGUAGAGACGAAUCCGAUUUGGCAGCAAAAGAAGCUGCGAGAGUAUCGUAAGGAGAAGGGGAUUCAUUUUUCAGCUUGCUCACCACUGGGAGCCGUAGGGACUAACUGGGGACACAAUCGAGUUAUGGAAAAUGAGGUGCUCAAACAGAUCGCCGAAGCUAAUGGAAAGACUGUUGCUCAGUUAAUUCAUAAUUCAUUUUUCCUUUCAACUUGAGAAUUAAAAUACAACAACGAAACCUAUCAAUCACUUUCAUCUGCAGGGUUAAAUUGAAUGCUAACAGUAUUUAUUUUGUUUCAAAAAAGUUUUUAUAUUCGAGAAAUAAUUCUUUUUAGAGGCUUAAUUAGAAGUUGAAGAAAUGUAAAAGAUUAUUCAGUUCAUUGCUGCUCAGUAAAUUCAAUAAAAAUGAAAGUAGGCAAAAUUGUAUUAUUAUAUGAACCUAUAUAUCUAUCUGUAAAAUCUCAUAAGUUCAAACAAGAGAGUUAGGAUUUGAACCCUACUCAGAUGGGUGGGAAAAGAGUUUAAUUACCAAUAUACUAUUCAUAAAUAAUACUAAUAAUAAGAAGCUAUGUUUUAAAGUUGUAUGACAUAUCUAAUUGCAAGUUAUGAAAUUUUAUUAUUGAAUAGAUGAAUGAACAUCAUACAUUAAUUGAGAUGAUUUCUUGUAAUAGAAGCGACAGAACAAUACAAACAUCCUAUAUAUAUAGAGAGAGUCAUUCUCUAGUGUGGGUGCUUACUUGUUUUAGAAUGCAGAUUUGAAAUUUCACAAUAGUGUCAACAUGCCUGAGAAUAAUUACAUAUUUCCUCAUAAAUAGUUGAUUUUUUUUCCUCUUUUUAUUUUUUCUGGUGCAUGUAAAGGUUGCUAUUAGGUGGUUUUACCAGCAAAGGGUGAGUGUCAUUGUGAAGAGCUUUAAUAAAGAACGAAUGGAACAAAACCUUGACAUAUUUGACUGGGAGCUAAGUGGGGAAGAGCUUCAAAAGAUAGAACAAAUUCUGCAGUACAGAGGAAGCCGUGCUGAGGCGUACCUAUCAGAGAAUGGUCCUUUCAGAACUGUGGAGGAAAUAUGGGAUGGAGAAAUUUAAUAUAAUAGUAUGCCUUUGUUUUUCUGUUCUGUAAUGCCUAUUCUAUUUACAUUAUGUAAUUCUUGUUUCUAAAAUAACUCUUCACAUUUUAGGCUUUUCUUUUUGGUGUGUGUCUAUGGUUGGGGGUGCCGGGGGGAUUCAGCCUUGAGCUUGAGAAAAAUAAAGUUACAGAAGUACACCAAAUAUUCUUAAUUCUAGUUUCUUGUGCAUCACAACACCAGUAGCAAACAUGAUAGAUUUAGCACCCUUGCAAUCAACAAGUUCUUUUGCAUGAGUACACAAGGAAGUAAGAAACAUACAGACACAUGAAGGAUUUCUGAUUAAACAAAUGACUUUAAGAAUAAUAAUAAUAAUAAUCACAUCGUAGUUGGACAGAACACGAAACAACAUCAGCAUCUCCCAAACUGUUUUAACACACCUUUCACUCAAUAAAUUAAACAUAAAAUAAUAGUAAUCACAAACUUAGCUGAAAUAUCAGCAAUACCAGCUUCAGUUUGUUUACAAGAACAAAGUACAACAAGGAAACAUUGACAGAUUUCUGCAAAAUUUUGCACACUACAAAUGAAGAUACGCAAUAAAAUAAAAACAACUGCAAAGAACAGAAAAUUAAUUUUCAUUUAUCAAACAGAGCAUAGCAGAAAGUAUCAAGAACUAAAAUAAAGCAUUACCCACACUGCAAACCUACUCGUUUGAUGCACAUUGUCCAUGUACUUGUGUUGGAAACCCUACGAGCCAACAGUAUUACAAAUACAAAUUAAAUUGCAUGUAGAUGAUACCAAAUGCUCAAUCUAAAAGAACCCCCCGCCCCUCCUUCCAAAUUACUCAAACCAAUAGUCUAAACUUAGCCUAACAAACUUUACUUAAAUAUCUCGUCCAAUUCGCAGCUGCACAAUAAAGUGGUUACACGUCAUCAGACAAAUAACCUUGCUUUCAUGCAUACCCACAACCAGGAGAAGGCCAUUCCUUACAAGUCUGUGGGCUUCUUGUAAAGAACAUUCCAGUGUCACUAAAAUCAUAGUAUAAGUGGAAUGCAAAACGCCAAACACAUUACAAAAGAAGAAUAAUGAGCCUCUCAAGCUCUCGUGAGCUUUUAAAGAUCUUAUACCAUGUGUUUUUAAGUGAUAGUGUUGAGUAGGAUUUAACUUCUUCAUUUUCUUUAUUUAUUAUUAAUUACCAAUCAUAUUUUUGCUGAUGAGAAUAUCAAAUCAUGAGAGAAUCCUAAUCCACAAAAAAAAUAUCUGCAGAACCAAACGCACUUAAACUAUUGUUUUAAUAUAUUUAUUAUUUAAAAUGAAAAAUUAUAACUUUAUUUAUGUAUUUUUGAAAAUCACGAAACUACCUUCCCAUUAGUAUAAUAUUUUUGUUUCUUAACUUCUUCUCUCCAAGGGCGUAAGCCGAAAACUUUUGUUACGAGGGCAACAUGAAUAAUGUACAAUAGUUAAGUUAAGAUUUCAAAGAGUGAAACGAUAACAAAUUUAGAGGCGAGCUAUUAAAGCUUGCUUUUGAAUUGAAUAUCGAAUUAGAGAAGAAAAUUAUGAUUGUUUUACCACCUAUUAAAAAAAAAGUUAUAAUGAAUACGUAGGAUUUUUGGUAUUGUGAAUGGUUAGACCAUUUACCUUAAAUAUUAAUAAUUACUUCAGAGAUAUUUUCAAUUUCAAUUGUAAUUUAAUACAUAACAUGAGUACUGGAAAAAAUAAAAUUCUGAAAAUUUUCCAAGGUCGUGUAUCAUGUCCGUUACGCUCUGCCGACAGCCGCUCAGCCAUCUUUUUUAAUUAGCACGAAUCAUUUUUUCAUCUAUUUGUCUUUUCUUUCUUUUUCUUUUUCUUUGUUUCCUAAAAGCAAUGACCGAUAAUGCGAGGAAAGCAUGCUGCAACAUGCAAAUAUUGUGCAGGAACUUUACUCUGUCACAAUGGGACAGAUCAAUUUUGAUUUAGAUGUCCAACUUUCAAUUAUCUUUUUUAAUUGUAUUUUUCAAAAGGUAAGAGAGUAGAUCACAAACUGAUUUUUUUGUCCGCUACUUCCUCAAGAUUCAGAUAUAGUGAUCAUCAAAUAAAACUGUUUGAAGCCACUCAUCUAAUUCCGUAGAGCCCCAGCUCUCAGUAUAUAUCUUCAUUACUCAGACACUCACUUCUUUUUUAUUUUCCUUAUUUCGUCAUCCGGCUAAUCUUUGAGAAUUGGCUAACUCAAAAGGCUAAGGGAAAGAAAAUGACAUAAGGCAGUUCCAUCAAUUUCAGUUGUUUGUGGCUAAUUGCUCAACUUCAAUGGAGCAAUAUUAGGCAUAGGUAAUGGGCUACUGUGUUGAGAGAGAAAGUUGCUACUGUUGCUGCGUUGAGAGAGAAAGUUGCUUCUGCAUCUCAACUUUGUGUGAUGUUGCUGUCGUAAUUGAGGAUCGAUUGCUGCGUUCAGAGAGAAAGCUGUUGCCACUGCGUCUCAGAUGUGUGGUGGUGCUGCGUCUCUGCUCUGAUUCGGUUGGUGAUGGUGCUACUGCUGCUGCUGCGUCUAUUUCGGUAAAUUUUGUUGAUAUGAAUGUUAAUUGAUUUUCUUUUUCUGGGUUUUUUUCAUAUGAUUUAAAUUGAUUUUUUGUUUCUAUGUUUUGUUCAUAUGAUUGUUAAUUGAUUUUUUUUAUUCUUUCCUUUAUUUGCUAUGAUUUCGUUUCUUUUUGGGUUAAAUUUAGGAAGUAUGAGUCUAAUUUUUAUUGAAUGUAUGAUAUGUGAUGGCCCUACCUACAGUUAUUUUGGGCUAAUGUGUCAGCUACAGGCUCUGUGGAGAGUAAGGUAGAAUAGUUUAUGAAUAAAUUAAAAGGAUGGUCAUAUAGAUGGUUAAGGCUGAAAUUGCAUAAAAGUUCUCCUCAGCUUUUACCCUAUAAGUAAGUGUGAUAUUUUUGAAACCAAGGUUAAACACAAGAGUUAGGAUUAUGGUAUUGCAUGUUCUUUCUGGAACUUUAAUUGCUAUCUCCAUUAUGGUUCUCUUAUAUCUUUUUGUUUACAUCAAAGAAAGAUGGGUUAUGGAAUAGGGACUUUCAGGUUUUUCUGUGAACUUCCCUUGUGUUCACAUGUUUAUGCUUCACUCUAUGCUUUCAUUAUUUCCUCAUUUUAUUUUUCCACUUUCAAUAUCAUUGGUUCAUCAUAGUUUCAAGGAUUUUGCAAUGAAAUUUGCGUAUUGAUGCAUUCGCAACCUUUUCUUUUUAUGUAUUUCUUAUUGCCAACUUCUAUGCUCCCAUUCGAUAUAAUGAUGUUGACUGCAAAGACAUAAACGGGUGAAGAAAAUAUUUGUUGUGACGCAUGAGGAGCUAAAGGUGAUUCAUUAAAAUACUCUCAACCUUGAACCACAUUCAAUUUCUAUUUUCCAGUCUGAUUUAUAUGUGCAUAUUCUUAUAUUGUAGCAUCUUAGGCGGAGGAUAAAAGACUUUGCAUCUACAUACAUGAAGAAUUGAAGAUUAAUAACUAUACUACUAUUCUUGUGAUGGGCUUGCUACACAGCAGGGGGCAAAAUGUCUAAAAGCAAACAGCGGGGGGCAAAAAGUUUAAGUGGCUUUGCUCUCGCUCCUGUAAAAUUAUGGAAGUAUUUCAAACAUUUUCAAUACAUCAAAAGAUAAUGUUAAAAGAUUUGGGAAUUAGAUAAAAAGGCAAGAAUGUAGCACUAAUGCAGAUUAUUGAGAAAUGAUUCAAUUUUUGGGGGUUUAAUAGAAUCAUUAACCUUCUUGACAUUCCUCAGUUAAGCAUGAUAUAAGUAGUCAAUUUUACAACGCAGAUGAACUCAAAAAUUGGCUAAUCAAAUAUGAACUUCCUCGUCAGAAGUGAAUUUUGCUCGUGGAAGGGUAAAAAAGUAUCAAGAGUACGCAGCCAUGCAGGGCGAGGAUUUGAUGGUUUGAGAGCUGUUAAAGUGUCGUCUCCCUCUCAGCAAACUCUAACAGUAAUUUUUAAUAAAUAUAUAUUUUAUUUAAAUCAUGUGCUGUAAAAUACAAAAAAAAAUCAUGUGCUGUAAUAUAUAUUUUAAUUAUAGGGUAAAAUAAUGAAAAUGUGAAACUUUCUUUUUUAAUUAAUGUUAAUACCAAAAUAUUUAUGGUAUGUUUGUGUAUGUAUUAGUUAAAACAAUUACUUUGUAGGUAUAAGUAUGACUUAAAUAUUUAUGCAUAAGUUAGAUAUUAUUUAAUUGUUCUUCAGAUUUUCAUUUUAAAUUAUUUGCAUCUAUUUAAGUGAUAAUCCUAUUUUGCACAAAAUGAAUUAUAGAGUAAACUAAGUAUAAAUUUAUGGAAUGAUUUUUUGGAUUAUUGUUUAAAAAUAGGAAUAAAAUAAGCUACCGUUUAAAAUACAAGAUGAAAUGAGUUAUUGUAUCAAAUCUCAUAGGUGAAAACAAGAGUAAACUAAGUAUAAAUUUAUGGAAUGAUUUUUUGGAUUAUUGUUUAAAAAUAGGAAUAAAAUAAGCUACCGUUUAAAAUACAAGAUGAAAUGAGUUAUUGUAUCAAAUCUCAUAGGUGAAAACAAACUUUUCCCUUAAUUUUCCAGCUUUUAUUGAGGCAAUGUAUUACCUGAUCAUUUGCAAAAAUUUUGGACACUAGUUUGGGAAAUUUCAUGUUAUUCUUAGCCUAACUCAUACUUGCAGGCUUCAACAAGUUGUAUUAAACCAUUAGUUGCAUACACCCGUUCACUGUUUGUUAAAAUGCAUUAAAUGUGUUCUUUUAUCAGCAGGUGACCGGCUCAUAGCCUUUUCCUUAGGUUUCUUCCAUUUGUCUUUGUGUCUCAUCUACAGCCGUCAGAUCAAAUCCACUGCUCACUUUGCUAAGAGACAAAUGACUGGGGUACCAGAGGCAGGACGCAAUGUAGUUAUGCCCUGUGUUUAUAUAUAUUGCAUAUUCUUUAGAAUUAUUUUGUUAUUAAGUUAUCUCUAGUUCAUUAAAUUUAUGUAGCAAGUCAAAUGUUUUUUAAUUGUUCCCAAAUUUUUUUUGCUUUAAAAUGGUUUCCAUUUAUUCAACUGAUCUUCCUAUUAUGGACAACAUGAACUAUUGGGUAAACUUACUGUAAAUUCAUGGAAGAAUAUGUUUUAGUUAUUAUUUGAAACAUAGCAUUGAAAUGAAGUAUUGUGUAAAAUACAAGGAUGAAUUGACGUAUCCAACCUUCAUAGUGACAAGGAUUUUUUUCCCUUAUUUUUCAACCAAUUAUUUAGGGAACGCAUUGCCUGAUUUUGUAAUAAUGAUAUUUCAGACACUAUCUUCGAAACUUUCAUAUGGAUCUUACCCCAACCGGUACUUCCACACUUCCAACAAGACGUUUUCAACCAUUAGUUGCAUACGCCAAUUUGUUGUUCCUUGAAAUGCGUUGGUUGUUAACAAACCUCCUUUCUAUUACAUGUGUUCUUUUAUCAAACACUUGUUUCCCUUACAGGUGACUGCCGCAUUACCUUUUCGUCAGGUUACUCCCAAUUGUCUCUAUGUUCCUUCUGUGGCAGUCAAAUCAAAUCGAUCGAUCGCUUUACUAAAAAAUCUCUAACAUACAAUAAAAAUUACAACUCGUACAAUCUGAUUAAAACACAAAAGAGUUCACAUAGCUUGUACACAUCCUUUCCUCCAUCUAUUUUUCCCCUUGCUAAAUGUUUUUUCGUCCAUAUAGCUAGAUGACAGCUAAGUGUGGUUUGUAACUACUGAUGCAACAUAGAUGCAGCCUGUUCUUGAACACCUUUUCCUAGUUUCAAAUAGAAGUGAGAGAGAGUUGAUGCUGAAAAGACUGCCAGACUUAUAUUUUUCCACGAGAAUUAUGUGUUACGUGGAACUAAUUUUCAUUUACUUUCGUGAUCUUGUUACAAUGUUAGCUCUUUGUUCAUGAAUUGAUUAAUACGCGUAUGUUUUUUACUCAAAAGUCUUCAUCUUAUUAAGUUGGAUCAUAAUUUUCCUCUUCUUUUUAUCCGUGUUGUCCUCUAUUACCUAGUAUCUCUCCUCUAGGAUGAGCAAUAAUACCCAUAUGAAAAUUCAUUGAUUUGUCAGUGUUUGAUUUAUGACAAGCGGAUUUCUAAUCCUACAAUUUUUUUGGGCCAAAUGAGAAUUAAUAUGGUAUUAACUUCUGUAUCUUGACUGGUAGUGUUUUAAGAAGUAGCAUUUGCUCAUGAUUUGACUUCACAAAACAAUAUCCAGUGCGCUUGUAUUAACCCUGCUGCGUUUUUUCUCAAUAUCCGUUUCUAUUAUUUAUUAAAGACUUUUGUGAAUAUCCAAAUUUAAUAUGAGAAAACAGAUCCUCUAGCUAGUCGGCUUAACACAGAUCGAAUAUUAAUAAUAAAAAUGAUAUUACUUUUUAAGCUUUUAUGUCAAAUUACGCAUGCAAAAUAAUAAGAAUUUUUUUUCCCAUACGCGUAUGUAUUUUGGAGGAGACACGUCCUCGAGUUCAUCUCUAAAAUCGAAAUGUGGUAUGGAAAGUGUAUACAAGUAUUUGCCCAUAUCACAGCCACAUAAACGGCGCAGUCUCAUUCUAUCAUUUUUUUGCCCUCUUCUCAAAUUUUUUUGAUAAUAAUUUUUUAUAUCACUCUUUAAUUCACCAUACUCUGUUUUAGUUAAUUCUAUUUAUUUCUCAAAUUACUUUCAUUAAAAAUUGUUUAUCUCUAUUGUUUCUCAUUUGCUCUUCUCAAUAUAUUUGAAGACUAUUGGUAUGCUUACUAACCCGCAAUCGGAAUGAGAAUUCUAGGAUUGGAAUGAAUAAUGCAUUUACUUGUAAAAUUAAGACUUGAAAUCAGAAUCAAAAUAGUGUUAAAUCCACAAAUUUGAGAAUCACUAUCAUAGUUCUAAUCCCCAAGCGAGGAGUUUGGAAUCAGAAUUUGAUUUUUAUAACUAACCAUUUUACUCUCGUUAAAUUUUCAUAAUCUCUAAAUUGCUCCCAAUUAUGUUCUGUUAUUUUUUCUUUUUGAUUCCCAUAAAGUUUAUCAAAAAACUCAAAAAUUUGAAUUAUUUGCAAAUAGGUCCUUUAUUGUUUAUUAUAAUAAUAAUAAUAAUGACAAUAAUAAUAGUAACCAAAUCCUCCCAGGAUCCUCCACCAAGAUUAAUCAAGAUGCAUUCAACAAAUAAGAUCAGGUUUAAAGAAUCAAUUAAACCUAACUAGACUUGAUACAAAAGAUUAUUCACCAACACAGAAAACAAGCAAUAAGAAGAAACCAAUAACAAUGAACAGAACGCAGAGCUCUUAACGUGGUUCAGCCAUUAAUGGCUUACAUCCACGGGUGAAUUCAUCAGCAGGCUUUAUUGAAGGAUUCAAGAAGCUUAUUACAGAGACUUUGAGAACAAAGAACAAGUAUUCACUUUCUCUCAGAAUUCUCUCAAUCUCUCACUCACGUUACCCCUCAUCCCUGAAGGCCAGCAGCUUAUAAACCAGUUUCUUUAACAGUUUAGCAACCCAGAACGCACAGCUUUUCGACACGUGUGUGUUGAGUCUGUUUAUAACGAACUUGGCUUCAAUCGAUGGUCACGUGAUUGCUCCGUGAUCUAACAAAAACCAAGUGUUAUCAAAACGAUCACACACGAUGCCGUUUCGGUUCAAUGACGAGCCGUGCUUGUCAUGUGAGUUACUUAAGGCUUGAAACAACUGAAAAACGCUGCCGUUUGCUGAGAGGUGUUUGUAUUCGCCUUACCGCCAACAAAUUUUUUGUUAGGUUUGUUUUCGGUGUGAUUUUUUUAGAUUUAGGGUUUUACUGGGGAUUUUAUGAAAUGGGUAUGUGAUAAAAUUUUAGGUUUUUCUUAGUUCAAUUUAACAAUCUGGUCAGAUUCAUCCAUCGUGCUUCAGCUGCUGACCCUACAUAUUUGAGGAUAAAUUUAUCUUCUGCCUGUUUUUUUAUAGAAUUAGCAUUCGUCUGUUCUUUUUUUUAAAUUAUGAUAUGUUUGUUAACCAUGCGAGUCUGUAUAAACCAUUCAUUGAAAAAAGAAAUGUAACUUAAGAUGAUGACUUAAAUUUUCAUCCGUUUCAUUUCAUUCAAUCUAAAAGUGUAUAUUUUUUUGUCAAAAAGCUGCAAUGAGUCACCUUUAUUCUUCUAUUAUUGAAAUGAAUAGAUCAACCGAAUGAAGUUUAAUUAAAAUAUUGAAUAGAUUAAAUGGAUGAAAAUUGAAGUAAAAUGUUGAAGUUAAGGAGCCCUAAAAUUUAUAGAAGAAACUCGAUAAGAGUAACGACCGUUGAAAAUACGUUAUCCUUUAUUGUAAUAAUUUAAGGAUUUUGAUAUUAGAAAAUUGCUUUAUAUAUAUGUGUGUGUUGAAAAUAUAUUAUUCCUUACUUUAACAACUUAAGAGAAUUUUUAGAAAAUUAUACACACACACCCCCCUUCUAAUAAAAGAAUUACUUAAUUUCAUGUAAAGUAAAGGACAAUUUAAAAGUAAAAAACACAUAUUUUAAUAUACCAAAAAAUAAAAUACACUAUUUUGGAGUAUGUUUUGUAAACUUUCAAUUUGUCUUUUACUUGAUUGACGUAAGUGAUGCCUUAGUGUAAAAUUACUUCAUAUAUAAUAUAUAAUACACUACAUUAGAGUGUGUAUUUUAAUUCUCUUUUAGUUUAUCCCUUAUCUUAAUGAUUUAAGAGAUCGUUUACUAGAUAAUGACUCGUAUAUUUUAUUUUGACUUAAAUUUUUUACAUAAAUAUUGAGUUAUUGGUUUUGCAAAAUUUAAUCAUAGAUAAAUUGGUAUAAUUAGUGGUAGUUUAUAUGUGUGUGUAGUUCUUUUCUAAUGCGGGUGUCUUUAUUUUUUUCACCUAGAUAUAUUUUUAAAUCAUAGGAUUUAAAAGAAUUAAUUUUUAAUUCUUUUAAAUCAUAUAGUUUAAGAGCGUGUCCACAUUAUAAAAAAAAAUAUAAAUGCCGGCACUUGAAAAUAAUUAUAUAGAGGAGUACGCGUGGAGUGGAAGGAUAUAAUUAUCAUAUCCUGAUUGAACAAAACACCAGGCUAGCUCGAUUCUUUCUGCUAACACUAAAUAAUUAAUUAAUCAUGUUUCAUUUUUAUUAUGAUAAUUCCCAGUUUAUAAUCAUGCCGUUAAAUAAGAAAUUUACAUUAUAUGGCGGGGCCUCAUAACAAAAAAAAAAAAACUUUAUUUUAACUAGUGGAAAAGAACAAUAUAUUUAAAUUGGUCUUGGAGAAUGGCAGGUGAUUGAUCCCCAAUUAAAUUUGCACGAAUAAUUAAUCCAAAAACAUGUGACACUUGCUCAAUUAUUGUAUUAUGUGUCCUACGCUAUAAUUAAAGAAAAUGAAAUCCGUGACAAUGUAUAUGUAAUCAAGUAGCUGGUCCAAGAACCGCUAGAGCCACUCACUCCUUCACACAUUUGUGAAUUGGUUGGAGCUCCCGCAGACGUAUUGUAGGGAGCUUAAUUUAAAUUUUUUUUUUAGUCUCAGAGCUUGAGUGAAUGUAGUCUUUCUCUCAGGAGGGGAGUUGACGUUCCUCAAAUAUUUGAGAAGGUUAAAAAUCUGAGCGGUGCCAUAUCAAAAUUGAUAUAACAAAAUUAAUAUAAACAGAUCUCAGUAUUUAUAUGAUUGUAAAUAUCAUGAGUAAUAAUUCUCAUUUUAAAAAAAAGUAAUUGGUCCAUGGCGUAUUAAAAAAAAAGGGGGGUAGUUGGUCCAAGGGCAAGUUGUGAAUUAUUCCAAUAAAAAAAGUUAGUUCUCAUUCAAAAAAAAAAGUGGGGGUAGUUGGUCCAAGGGCAAGUUGUGAAUUAUUCCAAUAAAAAAAGUUGGAUUGUGACAGACACUACAUAUACUAAGAGGAUGGAUUAGGCCUUUUAACUGUUAUAAAAUUAUUUGAUUGUUAAUGACGUUUAUUAUUUAAAAUUAUAAAAUUAUUUUAAUAGAUAAGUAUAUUAAAAAUAUAUUAUUAAAGGAAUGAAAUAAAUAAGAGUAUUUUAAAAAAAAUUAUUUUUUAAAAAAAUCUACAACCUUAAUGGCCUAAAAACUUAAACUUUUGUUAAUAAAAGUAAAAUAAUUUAUUUAAUCUCUAAAAGUUCAACUCAAAAUACAACCAAACAGCACAAAAAAUUUUAAAAAGAGCUUUAAAAACGAAAUAAAUAUUUUUAGACAUUAGAUAAGCUAUAUUAAACAUGCACUUAUUACAUAUAUAGAUGGAUUAUAAUUUAAUAUCUACUCCCAUAAUUAUUAGGGUUAAAUCUUCUCUUAUACUAGGAACAUUACCCACCCCUUGGUGACUUGGAACUCAUAUCCUAAAUGUUGAGGGCAUGAGUUCUCACCUAUACCCUUAGAGGGAAGUCACCAUAAAUAUCUGUUUGCGGAGGAGCAAUAUUCACCAUACAAAGCCUCUAGUUGGACAAGCCCUCUUCUUUUAAUUUUUUUUCCUUUUUUUGAAUAUAUAUAUACAUACACGCACACACACAAAAAUCACAAUUGAAGCGCCAUAGAUAUAAUUAGGAGAACUUGCAACAAGAAGCUGCCGGCAUCUCCCACACAAGCUUGAAAAAGUAGCCAGUAAGAGUUGUGCACGGGGGAAAAAAAAAUGGGAAAUAAUAAUGUGAUGGGAUUGGCAGGUGGUGUCUUAGCAGCGAUCAUAGUUAUGAUGAUACUCUUCUUCACCGCGGAUCAAUCUUGUGCAGCAGGCAACGGCACCGCCAUUACUAAUUUCCAUAUUGAUCCUGAUGUGUUGUUCUUUUAUGAUGAUCCGGAAUCGGAAUUGGCUGCUGCUGCUGCAACAAACGUAUUGAAUUUGAAUCCCUUGAAGCGACGUCCAGUGUUCGAUUGCGGAAAAGGCCGAGGCCGAAGCUAUCGCUCUUGUACCCCUCCUCCCCAGGGUUCCAAAAGGGGUGAACAUUGCAAACCUGCACCCGGCGGCACGUACAAUCGAGGGUGCCAUUAUUAAGCCUUAAGUUUGUACUGCUGCAUUCAUGCAUAUGCAUUUAUAAAUAAAUUAAUUGAAACUUCUAAUUUGAUUAGUACUAAUUAAUUCGUUGUUAAAUUAGCUAGGUUACUCCAUCUUGAUGCUAUCGUUCAUGUUCACUCAUUUAAAUUCUACCAUACUCGUCCUGAAUUUAUUACUUUUCCAUGCGCGUGCGUGUUAACAGCCUGGAGAAGUAAUUAAUUAAUUGAUUAACCAUUGAUGGCAUUUUACAUCGAGCUGGACCUACUCUUAAUCACC